Molecule: transfer RNA, 76 nt
Filed under: Ahrensia sp.
Lineage: Bacteria; Pseudomonadati; Pseudomonadota; Alphaproteobacteria; Hyphomicrobiales; Ahrensiaceae
Description: tRNA-Ile
Rfam family: tRNA
About the family: Transfer RNA (tRNA) molecules are approximately 80 nucleotides in length. Their secondary structure includes four short double-helical elements and three loops (D, anti-codon, and T loops).
Source: RNAcentral
GGGAGUGUAGCUCAACGGUUAGAGCCAGCGGCUCAUAACCGCUUGGUUGGGGGUUCGAAUCCCUCCACUCCCACCA